AUGAAUUGGAAAUGGAUCAUUCUCUUUCUUAUGUCAGUAACUACAGGUAUAGAAUCCCAGGUCCAGCUGCUGCAGUCUGAAGCUGAGCUAGGGAAACCAGGGUUCUCAGUGAAGCUGUCCUGCAAGGCUUCAGGCUACACCUUCACUGGCUAUACUAUAAACUGGGUGAAGCAGAGGCCUGGUCAAGGACUGGAGUGGAUUGGAAGGAUUUAUUCUAUAAGUGGUAAUACUGACUAUUCUCAGAAGUUACAGGGCAAGGCUACACUGUCUGCAGACAAAUCUUCCAGCACAGCCUAUAUGGAGCUAAGCAGGCUGACAUCUGAAGACUCUGAAGUCAGUGUUGAAACCACAUCCUGA
Non-coding RNA from Microtus oregoni (creeping vole), 357 nucleotides. NCBI's taxonomy places the organism in Eukaryota, Metazoa, Chordata, Mammalia, Rodentia, Cricetidae. The record is from the annotation of a RefSeq genome assembly.